UGAGGAAUUUUGCGCAAUGGGGGAAACCCUGACGCAGCGACGCCGCGUGGAGGACGAAGGCCCUCGGGUCGUAAACUCCUGUCAAGAGGGACGAAUGCGUGCGGGAUGAAUAAGUCCGUGCGUUGACGGUACCUCUGGAGGAAGCCCCGGCUAACUCCGUGCCAGCAGCCGCGGUAAUACGGAGGGGGCAAGCGUUGUUCGGAAUUAUUGGGCGUAAAGGGCGCGUAGGCGGUUGGGUAAGUCCGUUGUGAAAUCCCCCGGCUCAACCGGGGAACUGCGACGGAUACUGCACGACUUGAGUCCCGGAGAGGGUAGCGGAAUUCCCAGUGUAGCGGUGAAAUGCGUAGAUAUUGGGAGGAACACCAGUGGCGAAGGCGGCUACCUGGACGGGUACUGACGCUGAGGCGCGAAAGCGUGGGGAGCAAACAGGAUUAGAUACCCCCGUAGUCC
Molecule: ribosomal RNA, 450 nt
Filed under: uncultured prokaryote
Description: bacterial SSU rRNA
Rfam family: Bacterial small subunit ribosomal RNA
Source: RNAcentral